GUUACAGAGAUCAGUGAAUAAGCAUCUACCAUGGCUCAAUUGGGGAAUUUCAAAAGCUGAUCUGGGAGCUAAUCAUUCUUCAGUGGCCUAAAGAACGCCACAGCAGCCGAUCCAGAGCUUUGUAAGCAUUGCCAAUGAAGCAAGGCUUCCUUUAAACCAUACGGCAGUAUAAACGACAACUGUCAUGUGACCUCUUACAGGAACUCCACGUAAAAAGUCAGAUUGCUGCAGACAGAAAGUGGGAUGGUGGUGCCAGCAACCAAAGACAGAAAAUGCAGUAGUGAUGUAACAGCAUAUUGCGUUCACCCCGUUGGUAGUGGGAGGAGCGCACAGUCUCCAGACAUUUAACCCCAGAGAAGGGCUCUGAUUGGCCUGGCUUUAGAUCCAUCUCUACCCGGAGUAGUCAGAGCCAGGAGUAUGGAGCCUGUGAUGCCCGCUCUCAUGUAAAUCACAUGGCAGGUGUGGACAGAGAAGCAUCAUCCUGAAAAAUGGAGGAGAUGGAGAGGCGCGAGGGUCUGGCAGACAGAACAGCAGUGGUGGCCCAACAACCAUCGUCACCAAUGAAUGAUGCAGCACUUUGCCUUCAUUGUCCCCUGUUGUCACUGUCACAAACUGGAAUGGAAUUGGCUACAUCCACCCAGGGCUUAGCAAGCCAUGCUCACAGUCAUUGUGAAGUUUGCUGACUAGCUCGGGCUUCUGCAAAGGCAAACCUGUGAUUUAGAAAAGCAAAGUGUGUCCUAGGUAAGCCUGCACUUCGUGAGUGGGUAAGGGCUGGGGCUGGCACAGUUGGCUUUGCUCAUCACCCUAUAAUGGCAUUAGACAUUAGGACACCACGGGCAAAAUCACACCCCCAUGGUCUUUGCAACUGAUGAGCGAGACUGAGUUCAUAGCACAGCUCCAUUUUGCGGGGUCAUCCCACCUGUGGGUGUCUCCAGUGCCUUGUGAAAAUAAAUGCAGACGCCAAGUUCAGAAUCUGUGUCUCUGGUAGAGGAGCAGACACAGUGACUGAUCUCUCCCCUCCAUCCCUCUCUCCCUCUCUCCUCUCACUUUUUGAGACA
Long non-coding RNA from Onychomys torridus (southern grasshopper mouse), 1058 nucleotides. RefSeq lists it as uncharacterized. Lineage: Eukaryota; Metazoa; Chordata; Mammalia; Rodentia; Cricetidae. The transcript has 3 exons. The record is from RefSeq and is a predicted model, not a curated record.